GCCUAGCUGAGCUAAAGCUUACGGAGGCAAGACUCAAUGUUUGGUUCUAUCUAGCCUGCUAGUUCAGAACGUGAAUAAAAUAGUAAGAUUUGACUGGUCAAACUUUAACUAUCACAUGAUGCGGUUGUUCUUUUUCAGCUUUCGCUCGCUUGCCGCCGUGAGCGAGCCAAAUCGGCUCUCCUCCGAGAGCAAGGAUUUGGUGGCAGUUGCUGACUAAAUUGCCAUCAAAAGCAAGAAUAUCUUAUCAGUACCAAACGCUUAGCCUUGCCUGGCAUGGCUAGUUUUUGCUUUGCUGUAGAUCCAAAGGCACCCGCAGUUGCUGCCUCAAGCUUGCUGCCUCCCCAUGCCAAGCCAGAGAGGUUAAGAUGAAGAAGUUCGAUUAUGAGAGACCUCCUGCUCCUGUAUCCGUGUUCUGUAACUAAAUGGGUGAUCACAGAGAAAAGUGAUCAUGCAAGAAGCGACUGUACUAUUAUUGCUGCAGUCUACCAACGCUGUUCAGGGUACCAAUGAACUGUGUUAUCAUCUUUUUGCUUGCUGGUUUUUUCAAUUAGACAAAACAGUUAUUUUUAUCUCGAAAAUGGCAGUGAUUAAACAUGUGUGUUCUUACCU
Molecule: long non-coding RNA, 609 nt
Filed under: Brachypodium distachyon (stiff brome)
Lineage: Eukaryota; Viridiplantae; Streptophyta; Magnoliopsida; Poales; Poaceae
Description: long non-coding RNA (BDIS_LNC003620)
Source: RNAcentral